AUGAACGCUGGCGGCGUGCCUAAUACAUGCAAGUCGAGCGAACAGAUGAGGAGCUUGCUCCUCUGACGUUAGCGGCGGACGGGUGAGUAACACGUGGAUAGCCUACCUAUAAGACUGGGAUAACUUCGGGAAACCGGAGCUAAUACCGGAUAAUAUAUUGAACCGCAUGGUUCAAUAGUGAAAGACGGUUUUGCUGUCACUUAUAGAUGGAUCCGCGCCGCAUUAGCUAGUUGGUAAGGUAACGGCUUACCAAGGCAACGAUGCGUAGCCGACCUGAGAGGGUGGUCGGCCACACUGGAACUGAGACACGGUCCAGACUCCUACGGGAGGCAGCAGUAGGGAAUCUUCCGCAAUGGGCGAAAGCCUGACGGAGCAACGCCGCGUGAGUGAUGAAGGUCUUCGGAUCGUAAAACUCUGUUAUUAGGGAAGAACAAAUGUGUAAGUAACUAUGCACGUCUUGACGGUACCUAAUCAGAAAGCCACGGCUAACUACGUG
RNAcentral lists this ribosomal RNA (496 nucleotides) under uncultured bacterium. Its description in RNAcentral is "partial 16S ribosomal RNA". It matches the Rfam family "Bacterial small subunit ribosomal RNA", at positions 29 to 507 of the family's 1533-position model. The record is from RNAcentral.